Molecule: ribosomal RNA, 253 nt
Filed under: uncultured bacterium
Lineage: Bacteria
Description: partial 16S ribosomal RNA
Rfam family: Bacterial small subunit ribosomal RNA
Source: RNAcentral
UACGGAGGGUGCAAGCGUUGUCCGGAUUUAUUGGGUUUAAAGGGUGCGUAGGCGGCCUGGUAAGUCGGCGGUGAAAGCCCGGGGCUCAACCCCGGAACUGCCAUCGAUACUGUCAGGCUUGAGUACAGGCGAGGUUGGCGGAAUGGGCGGUGUAGCGGUGAAAUGCAUAGAUACCGUCCAGAGCCCCGAUUGCGAAGGCAGCUGACUAGGCUGUAACUGACGCUGAGGCACGAAAGCGUGGGGAGCGAACAGG